RNAcentral lists this ribosomal RNA (511 nucleotides) under uncultured bacterium. Its description in RNAcentral is "partial 16S ribosomal RNA". It matches the Rfam family "Bacterial small subunit ribosomal RNA", at positions 28 to 523 of the family's 1533-position model. The record is from RNAcentral.
GACGAACGCUGGCGGCGUGCUUAACACAUGCAAGUCGAACGAUGAAACCUAGCUUGCUAGGUCGAUUAGUGGCGGACGGGUGAGUAACACGUGGGUAACCUGCCCAUAAGACUGGGAUAACUCCGGGAAACCGGGGCUAAUACCGGAUAAUAUUUUGAACUGCAUGGUUCAAAAUUGAAAGGCGGCUUCGGCUGUCACUUAUGGAUGGAACCGCGUCGCAUUAGCUAGUUGGUGAGGUAACGGCUCACCAAGGCAACGAUGCGUAGCCGACCUGAGAGGGUGAUCGGCCACACUGGGACUGAGACACGGCCCAGACUCCUACGGGAGGCAGCAGUAGGGAAUCUUCCGCAAUGGACGAAAGUCUGACGGAGCAACGCCGCGUGAGUGAUGAAGGCUUUCGGGUCGUAAAACUCUGUUGUUAGGGAAGAACAAGUGCUAGUUGAAUAAGCUGGCACCUUGACGGUACCUAACCAGAAAGCCACGGCUAACUACGUGCCAGCCGCCGCUGUAA